Molecule: ribosomal RNA, 253 nt
Filed under: uncultured bacterium
Lineage: Bacteria
Description: partial 16S ribosomal RNA
Rfam family: Bacterial small subunit ribosomal RNA
Source: RNAcentral
UACGUAGGGCGCAAGCGUUGUCCGGAAUUAUUGGGCGUAAAGAGCUCGUAGGCGGCUUGUCACGUCGAUUGUGAAAGCCCGAGGCUUAACCUCGGGCCUGCAGUCGAUACGGGCUAGCUAGAGUGUGGUAGGGGAGAUCGGAAUUCCUGGUGUAGCGGUGAAAUGCGUAGGUAUCGUAAGGAAGACCAGUGGCGAAGGCGGGUCUCUGGACAGUUCCUGACGCUGAGGCACGAAGGCCAGGGGAGCAAACGGG